Molecule: unclassified non-coding RNA, 5644 nt
Filed under: Anthonomus grandis grandis
Lineage: Eukaryota; Metazoa; Arthropoda; Insecta; Coleoptera; Curculionidae
Description: uncharacterized LOC126738115
Source: RNAcentral
UACUCAGUUUAAAGGUGAUUAAGUGACGUGCGCCAUUUUCGUUUUGUGAAUAACUCGAGAAAUAUGUGAAUUUUGGACUUUUUUAAGACUAUUUCGAGUGACUUUUUCAACGAUAAAAGGACUGUAAUAGUGUGUACUAAUUAUUUAGUACUUAUAUAUACACGCAACAGUGGAUUAUAUUAAAUAUUAAUAUCGUGAUAUCUGGCAGCCAUUUUUACUGUCACCCAGGAAGUACCCAUUAUCGUCAACAAUCUUGGAUAAACUAGCCAUAUAAAAUUACACUAUAAACUGAUUUGUACACUCUAUGACCGAAGUAUAUAAAAAUGCAUCAUCCGUCACAGUGCAAAAAAAUAAUGUAUCUCGCGAUUUCGGGAAUAAUUCAGCCGGGAAUGUGAAAAGAAACAUGAUCGUCUUACUGUUGUGUGUGAUGAUGAAAAUCGUGGAAUACGGGGGUGGGAAUACCCCCCAAAAUCAGCAAAAUAGGCCGAAGUGUAAGAGGUAUAGGAGACAACAUCGGAGAAGACAUGAACAUAAAGGCAAAGGCAUGAGUGAGUUGGGGGUGCCUCGCAUGAGCCCUGACUCAGACUGCAAUAGCAACCUAAAAGGCUCCAGCCUCAGCAUAGCCUCUUCCCAAGAUAUUGAGUUUGUACAGGACAAUUCUGAUUAUCAAUGGUUUUUGGAUUAUGGUUACAGAGAUGGCUGCACGAACCACCACACGAGCAUCCUCUCAAUACCGGAGUCAUACGAAGCAGGAGACAACUAUUACGACGCCAUGGCCAAGAACAUGGACGCAAAUCUCGCGGAAGCCGAUAUGGAAAGUUUCAAAACUGAGGACAUUCACGCUUUGCUGACUAACCUGCCUCCGAUGUGCACUGACCACCUCAGCCAAGAGACGAACAGACAGGGUGAAUCUUUUGCCGAGGUGUCCGGUUCGAUGAUGGUGAAAUUUAAUCUGGAUAGUUUUGUUAGCCCCCAUGGCAGUUCUCAGGGGGAUGACUGUUCAGCAAAUUCCACCUCAAUGUCCAUAUGCAAAUCGGAACUUCUCUUCAGUCCGGUAAAGGAAACUCCAAUGCCAUGUGCCAAUUUUUCAGUCGAUUCAUUAGAUUGCGAUCUGCACGACAUGAUGCUCACUUGUCAAGCUAACAAAGAUAAUUAUACCAUUGCCUUUGAAGGAUCCGUUACUACAUAUAGCGAAGAAAGCGACUAUCAUGAUACAGAUAAGAGCUCUUCAAACCAAUCCGGCAGCUUGAACGCAGAAAUGAACCAGAAAAAUCGCAACUUAACCGACAAGAUAUUGGAGAGGUCUAUGACCCAGUCUGAUUCAAGCAGUUUCACCACUUGGAGCAAACUGAAGAAAAGGAACAGCGACGACCAUCUACGAAGACCAUCUGGUAACAAUAACAAUUCAGAAGACGAGAGUAACCAUUUAGUGUUGAGUGAUACGGCGCUUAAAAGUCAAAGUAUGCCGAAUUUGAGAAGGCAAAAAGUGAGGAAAGUGGCUAAUUUUAAGGACGAAAAUAGUCUAAGUAAUAGUUCGAUCGAAAAUACGAUAAAAAGACGCCCAGUAAAAGUGUUCGAUAUCCACCAUCAAACACAGCAGAGCAGCAGCGGUAGUGUCGCUUCAUUUUCCGAUAUGGCAACGUCGGUCGAUGGCUCUAGUAUGGGCGAUGGUACUAAUAAACAUCCGAAUUUCAGUUUGGUUAAAUUGUUUAUGAAACAGAAGAGUAUGAGUCAAGAAGGUAUGUCCCUAACAACUGAUCAGCUGUCUUCUUCUGAAAACUGGCAUGCCUCUCAAAGCGGUGAAAGUUCGGGCUCGGAAAAUAAACAUUCAGCCAAAAGUAUGGAUCUGAGCGUUAACUCUAAAGGGGGAGUGUAUGAUCUUAUCGCCGAAGAGCCUGAAGAUAAUUCCGCUAGUGAAUCGAUAGAACAGCUCAGCGAGAGUGUGUCCAUUGAAGGGAGUUACAAAAAAGAUAGUGGUGUUAGUGAGAAUAUUAAUGAGCCUUCAGUUCAAAAGGAAAUAAGAAAACCGCUUAGUCCGAAACAUAAGAGGCUCCUUAGUAAAACUUCACAUCUCGACCGUAGCAUUCAAACCUCCCAAUUUUCCGAAAUAACUAACUUGAAAAACGCGACGAAACACCGAUCUCCCUUUUACCAGUCACCGAUAAAAAUGAUCGAACCCUCUUUCCUCAGCAAACUAAAGGAGGAGGGCGAAAUGCAGAAGCCAGUAUAUGUGCUUUAUCCGAAUUAUGUGCUACCCGAUUUGGAGUUUCUAAAUGAAAAGAACGAUAUCAAAAAUAUUCUAGUUAUGCCCCAAAACGCUCCCAGGGUUCCCAUCGGACAAAAGCAAAGGCCAUUUAGUUUUAACGACGUGGAGAUGUUAAAGAGGAAAGGGUUUACGCACGUGAAGGAUUGGGAUUCUUUGAAUAUUUUGUUGCCACAGGAGUACAGGAAGAUUUUAGCCGAUGUGCCCGAGAUUUCAGGACAUAUUAAGAUCGGGGGAAGUUUAAGAGAAAAACCAUCGUUUCUGAGAUGUAAAAAGCCAUCGCUGAAUGACACAACUACAAUACCAAACAACAUAUCAUCUAGCUCUAGUACUGCUACUCAACCUAGUAGCGGAUAUCGCGGCUCUUCCAGCUUACUAACAGAUUCUCAAAAUAGUCCGGCCGCUCAGAGUAACAAUAAUCCUUUGUUCGUUUAUCGGUAUGAUAGCGUUACUAGUUCGGAGGCAAGCCUGAUUAAUGGCGAAAAACUCCCUCACUGUAUAACAACUACCCCUCAAGCAGGCGUAAAAUGCGUAAACUCCUUACCUCAAGAAAAUCGUUCAAACAAAUCUCCGUACAUUAGAGGGAUUUUAAGAAAAGCCGAAAUAAAUAAGAGGUUCAGCGUGUACGAACCUAGCGAGGAGGAUUUAACUGGCAAUGAUACUACCUAUAAUAAACGGCGAUCCCUCCCGGAUCCCUAUUAUUUAAAUCGGAUGAAGAGAUUCUCGGAAACUGAAGACGAAGGUGUGGACGCAGGCACUUCUAGUAGCAGUUUGGACGAAAAAGAGAGUUUGUCGAACAGGAACGAUUUUCUCCUACCUCACGGGGGUUCAGAUGAACUAAUGCAACUAGAAGAGUAUUUGAAAUUAAGCGGAUUUUCAUCCACUGACGAGGAUAAAACAGAGGAAAAUUUGCUGCAGCUGCGCAGUUACGUCAGCAAGUUUUUGGCUUUAAAAAUUAAUCAGGACGACUCCGAACAUUUCGGCGGCAAAAAAUGCGUGAGCUUCGCUGAAAAAUCUGGCAGCACAAGACAUUUGGACGCCAAGUUGGCCAAUAAUCCACCGAAUAAUUCUCCGAACGUUUCGGCCUUUUUACAACAGCGAAAUUUCCAGACGAAAACAGUUGCCGACAUGACAAUUUGUGAGGAAAACGAAAAUAGUCCGAACUAUUCUAGUCCGCAAGCGACGCCGGUUCACUUAUGCAAAACCCCUUCGGAUUAUUAUGUGCAAAAACGAUCUCUUAUUAAUGGGGUGAUGGAUGCGGUCGAUCAAAUUAUGCAGCAUUUUUCACCAGCUAGUAAUCAACAGGAACUUAAUACUCUUGGCGAUUCGAGCGUGAACCCCUCCUGCGCCAAACUGGCUCUAACGACCCUGUGUCCGGCCCUUUACGCCGUUUUAAGCGACGGCCUAAAGCCUUGCUUAGAAACUAGCUUUGGGGCCAUAAAUAACUCCGUGUGGCAGGUGGUGGAGGCCUCCUCACAACAGGGCCCCCUUACCAAAGCCCUUAAUGAUUUGGUAAUGCGGAUCAAUAGUGAGGACGUUAUAAGUGAGGGAUUAGUAAAAUUUAAUGCCUUCAUUUUCGGACUCUUGAAUGUUCGUUCACUAGACGCAUGGACAAGUUAUUUAAGGACUAGAGAGAGCAUAUUGAAAAAACACUACACCGCAGAUUCCUUAUUGGUACUAUCACAUACAGGCGGUACUAAUCUGAGAACUAUGUUGGACACGAUGGUGGCGGCGUUGCAACCUUUGGCAUUUCUACCCUUUCAGUUUGAUUUGUUAUUUGAAUAUAAACAAUUGCAUCUCAGUUUUAAGAGGAUGGAUUCGUAUAAUCAGCCUACCAGUCCUACGUUGAAGCAUUCUACAUCACCGAGCUUCAAACAGUUCUUCUCGGCCAAAUACACGCAAUCUCCCAAAUCCAAUAGCAGAUCAAACUCAGAAUCAGACGUUAUUUCUGCUGUUACACUAAGAAACAUAUCUGAGGCGUCCGGAUACAAAGAGAGACCGCGCAGCAGCUGCGUUGAACCUGGAAUGUUAAACUUCAAAUUGGGCGAAGACGUUAAUAACGUUGCGAAAAAACGAUGGUCAAGUAUUGCCACAAACUCCAAACUCUUCCAAGUUUAUGAUCGAUUGGCAAAAGAUGACGAAGAGUACGCGGACAGCUUGGAAACCACUCAAGGUUCACCAAAGAAAGAAAGACCCGCGCAGUUAAAAACUAACGAGCCUGAAUCGUUGGAUUCGAAUUAUGCCGAUGAUAAGCCGAUAAAUGGAAGGAGGUUCAAGAAGUUACAGCAAAAGUGGGAGAUGUUAAGUAAGGAGUCAGUGGAUAAAGAGUCGCCUCCGCCUAGUCCUACACAUGUGGGGAACAAAUCAAAGAUUCCAAGGCCCAUAACAUCUCCUGUCAGGCCCUCUGGCAUACCAGUCCUAGUUUCACCAGCGACCAAACUGACAGCCAGUAAAAUUCCCUCGAAUAUCGCCACAAAACAGCUAAAAGGUGCAGUGAAAAACUCACCAGCUAAAAAACCCGGUUCUAGAACGAGUAGGGUUGACCAGGUGGAGGGAACCCACGCCGUUCAGAGGCCGAGUAGUUUACCGUAUAACAAACCAUCGACGGUGAACGGGAUGCAAUCCAAAGGGGUGCCGCAGAGGAGGGCGGCGAGUAGUUCGUUGAGUAGACGUCCGAUUUCGGUGGUUGGAGCGAGGAAAACGAGUACUCCAAAAACAGUCCGGACGUUGAAUCACCGCCUGCCAUCCGAAAGCGGACACCUAUCAUAUAACGAGGGCGAAAUACUCAAAGUCGUCCUCGAGGUGGACGAUAAAUGGCUGUUAUGUGCACGUGGCACUCAAAAAGGUCUCGUGCCCAAAUCGGCCGUUAUACCCGACACCGAAAAGUUCUGAUAAAAACUGUACUGAAGGUUUGUACUUCUCCGAUUUUUCCCCCGAGUUAAGAGCCUCCUAGAUACUUCUUACUAAACAAAAUUGAGGGGAAGCAUAAUACCUGCAGUAUAGUAAGAGUGUUAGAUAUUAUUUGCCUUUUAUAUGUAUAUAUUGAAAUAACCAUUUAUUUGGGUGUUUUUCCCUUAAAAUAACAGGAUUUGCAUUAUAUUCAAAUAUAUUAUUCGAUCGAUCGAUGAUUUACGCGAAUAAUAACGAUCGAGUUGUGAUUCCAAACCUAACUUUAAGUUUUUUUUUUAUACAUGUAUACAUUAUUAUUUCUGUAUUUGUUAAGAUAUUUGUUUGUGCCAUAUUGACUUCGUCAAAUUUCUUUUUUUUUUGUUGCUGGAUAGCGUUUUAUUUACAUUUGUAUAUUUACUUUACUACGUACUAUUUUUUAGUUUUAAAUCGUAAUGAUUAUUAGCAAAUAAAGCGUAAUGAUUACUAAACAGA